GCCACUCCUGCGGGCUCUGUCAGCCUCCGCCCACUGGGCCACCGGCAUCCUAGCAAGGAACCUAGCUGGGGCGCGCAGUGCAGUCGCUGAUGUGGCAUUGCGUGGCGGCGGGGUCUGAGGAGGAGCAGAGGAGAGGUCGCUAGAACUCGGAACUUGCCCCUGCCCUCACCCCUUUGACAGCAGGCCUUGCCUGGUGAGACCUGCAGACUUGCAUCAAGUACGUUUUGAUUCUGUGGAAGUGGUUGAAGGAUCACCGGAAAUGCGGUGGGGAACAGAGGAGAUCUGCAAUCAGUAGCCACUGGAAUGCGGAUUUUGACAGAAACUUGAUCUCUUUGGAAUAAGAAGUCGAGAGCUGCACUCAAUGGGCUGAACACCAGGCUUUGUGGCAGGCCUCUUUUACCUGCAUUACGUGGAAUUCCUGCACCCAAAUUAUGACAUAGAUAUCAUCUCCAUUGUCAGAUAAGACCAAGACCCACACCCUAUCCCAGCAUGCCACAGAUGCCUCCAGACAGUGUAUGUUGUAUUACUUCACUAAGAGUCCAUAAACUGGUGUGUCACUUGUCAUCAAUGUGCGGGUGAGAAUUUCUGGUGAAUGCCUCUUUCUUCUAAUGUCUAUAAAGUUUUUACGACAAAGAU
This is a long non-coding RNA of Peromyscus californicus insignis, 636 nucleotides long. RefSeq lists it as uncharacterized. Lineage: Eukaryota; Metazoa; Chordata; Mammalia; Rodentia; Cricetidae. The record is from RefSeq and is a predicted model, not a curated record. The transcript is spliced from 2 exons.